This 30-nucleotide non-coding RNA is filed under the name Rattus norvegicus (Norway rat). The record is from RNAcentral. Lineage: Eukaryota; Metazoa; Chordata; Mammalia; Rodentia; Muridae.
UCAUUUUUACAGUGCCUUUGGAUUCACCAA